Ananas comosus (pineapple) is the source of this 3259-nucleotide long non-coding RNA. RefSeq lists it as uncharacterized. The transcript has 7 exons. NCBI's taxonomy places the organism in Eukaryota, Viridiplantae, Streptophyta, Magnoliopsida, Poales, Bromeliaceae. The record is from RefSeq and is a predicted model, not a curated record.
UUUUUUGUUUUCGUUUUUAGACAACCCGCAUUUGGGGCGAUUCGCUCACUCCUCCCCGCUUCUCCCUGGCUUCCGCUUCCCACGCACGAGAAGAUCAUAUCCACAUUCGUCGUUCGAAACCCUAACCAUGGACGAGAACCCAAUUCCACGUCCCAUUUACGCUUUAAUCAGGACAAAAAAUGGAUACAUUUUGUAUGGUGUGGAGCAUAAUCAACAUUCUGGCCAGGUUUUUACCUAAUUUGUUAGGUUGGGCUUGGAUCAGAGUUUUAGUAGUCAGCCCCAGCCGACAUCAUCUUAGCUAAUUGGCUUUGCUCUCGUCCUGGCCAUGUAGCUAGCUAUAUCCUAGUGCUUUUUGGGUUUGUCUUAUCUAAAGGUGGAUAUAUGGAGUAAAAAGCAGCAUAAACUAUUAGAUGUCACCAACCUGAAGAGGUAGUUUGUUUCGUAUGACCAUAUAUAUAUGGAAGCCAGUCAUUGUUGUCAUAAAGUACGGCUCGUCAACCUCGAUGAUUCUGCCAUCACUUCCGAUGCAGGGAUUCCUCAAGAAGUACUUAUAAGCCUCGUCAGCCAUUUUACCAAUUGUUAUUGGAUUCCUUGUUGAAGAGCUUAUCUGGUAGAUGAACGCCGAUGAUUCAUUAUAGCUGCUGGCUAUGAUUGUGAGCAUUGCAUUUACUACAAGGUCUCCGGGAACCUGUAAAGUUUUAUGACUGUUAACCUCACAUACAAGCUUGAAGAUUUACAGAAUAAGGAAUAGGUAUGUAACUAUGUAAGAAACAUUACACACUUCCCUUUUUGUUUUCAAUGAUACACUUUUAUGUGAAUAGGCAUAUAGAUUUUAAGUGUCAGCUUUUCAUUUAAUGGCCUCUAAGGUUCCUAAACUGUUUUAUUAGAAAUGGUUAGAUCAUGUAUUUCCUAUAAAUCUAUUAGGAAAAUAGAGAGCAAUGGUCACCUCUGCACGAAAGAUGUUUAACAAAAUGACUGAAAGGACAUCGUCAUCUUCAGCUCAGUUCCGUUCUAACAUUUUCAAUAUGCAAGCGCAUCAUGUCAGGUUUGAAUAUUUUUAUGGCUAAACUUUUGUUGUAAAAUUUGUUACAAAUUUGCUCACUAUCGUCCAUUCUUGGUGCAUUAUGGCUCCUUCGCGUAAGAUUUCCCGUUUCUCAAUAAAAAUGUGUAUUUGAAAGUUUCUGUUGGAUGGUUGUUUGCUUACUUCUGUACAUGUUUAAUACCAAUUAGAUCUUUGUUGUUUCCCAUAUCAGGUUCAUGUGGUUGCAGAUGCUGUUCCAUGUAUUUAAUUGGAUAUUUUUAGGAGAGUUUCUUGUGGCCUGUUUGUAAUGUUUUUUUUUUUUUUUCAGGUUUAUUGAUUCAUACUAAUAACACUUCUUUUAUUGUUUAGAAUGUUUUGUAAUUGCAUUUUUGUUAGCAGUUAUGCUGCUUCAUGUUUUACUGAUUGGGGGAUGAGCUGUCUCUCAACUCUCAAGUAACUGGAAAUGGUUCCUUCCACGUACUGGUAACUAUGGUUGGACGCAAUAUAACAAGAGGAAGGUGCCGCCUUAAGUCAUAGGAAAGCAUCUCUCCCAUUGCUUUUGUAAAUGUCGCCAUCUCUGCUUCAAUGUCAAGGGCCUUCACAGCUGAAAGUGGCUGUUCUAACAUGACACCUUGAUUGUCUGGCGUAACGUAAGCUGAAGGACAGGUGCUACAGUAAGCUCAUACUGGUGAAAAAUCAUAGAUCAUGCAUCCAGUAAGGAGGAUCAAAAAAAUUGAAAUUUUAAGUUUGAAAUCAAUAUUCUAAUUCUUAACAUUAUAACAUGAAUUAAUUUUGAGUGUUUGUAGCCAGUAAUAACCAACCAUUACUACUGUUGAUAUCUUAUAUAUUUCUUUCUGUCCUCAAUGGCGGCACGUUUGAAUAGGCCUAAAAUUUUGCUCAUUAGCUAUUUUAUCUGGUGUUUCCCGCCAGACUAGAUUAUUCCUUUUAGCAGUUCUUAUCAGAAUUCUAUCACACCGUCCACAGAAAAUGAUCUGUUCGCUGCUUUUAGAAUACUGGGUGGCAUUUGCUUAUUAUGCAGGGUAUAUGGGUACCGCAGCAAUCACCUCAAAAUCCAACAGAAAAUCGGUGGUUCAUCUUGCAUGUAAGGACUACUUCCAACAUACUUGCAGUUGGAGGGUCUUUGUCUCACUAACAUCUAGUUCAUUGUUGUUUAUAAUGUUUAAAGAACCAAAUGAUCAAAUUUUGAAGUUCCUGCAGAAGGGUAUUCUUCAACGUUUUCUCUUGUUACUUUUUUGCUUUUAUUCUGUUACUUUUUACUGGUACACAAGUAGAGCCACACUGGUCUCUAACAUAAAAGUACCUUUAAUAUGGUGCCGUAAAUAGAUGAGGAACAACUUUUUGGCGCUUACCAGUUGAAAUAUGGAGCAGCAUCUUCAAUUUCGGACAUCUCAUUGCAAAUGCCGAAAUAUGCUUUACUGCAAAUGUGUUGAUGCCCAAAGCUGUAUCAUACCUAUUGAUAUUUCAAAACAAAAUUAUCUGUGAACAACAUGAAUGAGUUCACGUGGAAAGGUGCCAUGCAAGUUUCUAAAGCUUGGAAACUUGUUGCCACCAAUUGUGGCGGAUAUGCAGAAGAAAAUUGCAAGGAUUUACAUUUCCUUCCUGUCAGAAAAAGGGAUCAAGAAGCAGAAAUUAGUGGUCAUCAUAGUGUUUAUUACCUUUCGUUGAAGUCCGUGUUUGCUGCUACAUGGACGAUGACAUUAAUUUCGUCCCAGAGGGUUUCUUUAAGUUUGUCAUCUUGUAUUCCCAAAUCUUCAAAGGUAACGUCUCCUGCCAAAGGGCACACUUUGUCCCAGAAGUAUGAAGGAAAGUUUCCUUGGCAUUUCUCUUCCAGAACUUUAAAUACCUCAGUUUGCAUAACCUACAAGUUUAGAGGUAUUACAAUGCAGAUGACACAAUCCCGAAGGAGAAGCAAUAUUAGCAACGACAGUUGGAUGACAGGCAUGAUGCUAACCUCAGUUUCCACACGGCGCUUUGCCGAAACAUGAUCAGCUGCGCGCACCAACAGGUAGUUUGCUACGCUUUCCGGCUGCAUGGUUAUGAGAAACAGGAAAAGAGAAGCAAGUAAAAUAUGUCCACCUGAAUUUGAAUACCUUCUAUGUAUGUUUGCGUAUAUAUAGACAAUGCUGUUAUAUGUCAAUUAUCAAGCUGGUCAUUGUGCAUUUAUUGAGGAUCGAAAUUGCAACAUAAUGUUUAUGCUUUCAAGGUGGGUUUGAGAUA